UACGAAGGGGGCUAGCGUUGCUCGGAAUGACUGGGCGUAAAGGGCGCGUAGGCGGUUUGGACAGUCAGAUGUGAAAUUCCUGGGCUCAACCUGGGGGCUGCAUUUGAUACGUUCGGACUAGAGUGGGGAAGAGGGUCGUGGAAUUCCCAGUGUAGAGGUGAAAUUCGUAGAUAUUGGGAAGAACACCAGUGGCGAAGGCGACACACUGGGCCAUUACUGACGCUGAGGCGCGAAAGCGUGGGGAGCAAACAGG
This 253-nucleotide ribosomal RNA is filed under the name uncultured bacterium. Its description in RNAcentral is "partial 16S ribosomal RNA". It matches the Rfam family "Bacterial small subunit ribosomal RNA", at positions 524 to 776 of the family's 1533-position model. The record is from RNAcentral.